RNAcentral lists this ribosomal RNA (614 nucleotides) under uncultured bacterium. RNAcentral's name for it is "bacterial SSU rRNA". It matches the Rfam family "Bacterial small subunit ribosomal RNA", at positions 262 to 894 of the family's 1533-position model. The record is from RNAcentral.
GGCCCACCAAGCCAAUGACGGGUAGCCGGUCUAAGAGGACGAACGGCCACACUGGAACUGAGAGACGGUCCAGACUCCUACGGGAGGCAGCAGUGGGGAAUCUUGCACAAUGGGCGAAAGCCUGAUGCAGCGACGCCGCGUGAAGGAUGAAGGCCUUCGGGUUGUAAACUUCUUUUGCAGGGGAAGAUAAUGACGGUACCCUGCGAAUAAGCCACGGCUAACUCUGUGCCAGCAGCCGCGGUAAGACAGAGGUGGCGAGCGUUGUUCGGAAUUACUGGGCUUAAAGGGCGCGUAGGCGGUGAAACAAGUCUGGGGUGGAAGCCCACAGCUUAACUGUGGGACUGCCCUGGAAACUGUAUUGCUUGAGUCGGACAGGGGAAGGCGGAAUUCCGGGUGUAGCGGUGAAAUGCGUAGAUAUCUGGAGGAAGGCCUGUGGUGAAGACGGCCUUCUGGGUCUUGACUGACGCUGAGGCGCGAAAGCGUGGGUAGCAAACAGGAUUAGAUACCCUGGUAGUCCACGCCCUAAACGGUGGGUACUAGGUGUGGGGCCCGUACGGGUUCUGUGCCGAAGGGAAACCAUUAAGUACCCCGCCUGGGGAGUACGGCCGCAAGGU